UUCCGGUUGAUCCCGCCGGAGGUUACUGCUUUCGGUGUUCGACUAAGCCAUGCAAGUCAUAUGUUCCUCGUGAACAUGGCAUACUGCUCAGUAACACGUGGAUAACCUGCCCUUGGGUCUGGGAUAACCCCGGGAAACUGGGGAUAAUACCGGAUAACGCAUAUGUGCUGGAAUGCUUUAUGCGUAAAAUGGAUUCGUCCGCCCAAGGAUGGGUCUGCGGCCUAUCAGGUAGUAGUGGGUGUAAUGUACCUACUAGCCAACAACGGGUACGGGUUGUGAGAGCAAGAGCCCGGAGAUGGAUUCUGAGACAUGAAUCCAGGCCCUACGGGGCGCAGCAGGCGCGAAAACUUUACAAUGCGGGAAACCGUGAUAAGGGAACACCGAGUGCCAGCAUCAUAUGCUGGCUGUCCAGAUGUGUAAACUACAUCUGUUAGCAAGGGCCGGGCAAGACCGGUGCCAGCCGCCGCGGUAACACCGGCGGCCCGAGUGGUGACCGUUAUUAUUGGGUCUAAAGGGUCCGUAGCCGGUUUGGUCAGUCCUCCGGGAAAUCUGAUA
Molecule: ribosomal RNA, 555 nt
Filed under: uncultured archaeon
Lineage: Archaea
Description: bacterial SSU rRNA
Rfam family: Archaeal small subunit ribosomal RNA
Source: RNAcentral